This 240-nucleotide unclassified non-coding RNA is filed under the name uncultured fungus. RNAcentral's name for it is "sequence contains ITS1". The record is from RNAcentral. Lineage: Eukaryota; Fungi.
GUAUUGAUUGUGCAUUAUCACAAAUAGUAAGACAUUCUACACAUGCAGUGGUUUUGUAUAAAAACGCAAAUGCCCCCUUUUGGAACAAACCAAAAGGAGAGCACCCACGCGGUGAUUCACAAAGGGGUGAGAUGGAUUUUGUGCGAGAGCGCUCGGGCGUGCACGACCUUUGAAGGUCAGCGACAGCCCUCGCACCUCGGUUGUACGAUAAUGAUCCUUCCGCAGGUUCACCUACGGAAA